RNAcentral lists this ribosomal RNA (439 nucleotides) under uncultured bacterium. Its description in RNAcentral is "partial 16S ribosomal RNA". It matches the Rfam family "Bacterial small subunit ribosomal RNA", at positions 338 to 795 of the family's 1533-position model. The record is from RNAcentral.
CCUACGGGUGGCAGCAGUGGGGAAUAUUGCACAAUGGGGGAAACCCUGAUGCAGCGACGCCGCGUGAGUGAAGAAGUAUUUCGGUACGUAAAGCUCUAUCAGCAGGGAAGAAAAUGACGGUACCUGACUAAGAAGCCCCGGCUAACUAAGUGCCAGCAGCCGCGGUAAUACGUAGGGGGCAAGCGUUAUCCGGAUUUACUGGUUGUAAAGGGAGCGUAGACGGCAGCGCAAGUCUGGAGUGAAAUCCCAUGGCUUAACCAUGGAACUGCUUUGGAAACUGUGCAGCUAGAGUGCAGGAGAGGUAAGCGGAAUUCCUAGUGUAGCGGUGAAAUGCGUAGAUAUUAGGAGGAACACCAGUGGCGAAGGCGGCUUACUGGACUGUAACUGACGUUGAGGCUCGAAAGCGUGGGGAGCAAACAGGAUUAGAUACCCAGUAGUC